RNAcentral lists this small RNA (505 nucleotides) under uncultured Glomus. RNAcentral's name for it is "SSU rRNA". It matches the Rfam family "Eukaryotic small subunit ribosomal RNA", at positions 569 to 1078 of the family's 1831-position model. Lineage: Eukaryota; Fungi; Glomeromycota; Glomeromycetes; Glomerales; Glomeraceae. The record is from RNAcentral.
AGCAGCCGCGGUAAUUCCAGCUCCAAUAGCGUAUAUUAAAGUUGUUGCAGUUAAAAAGCUCGUAGUUGAACUUCGGGAUCAAUGGAUUGGUCAUGCCGAUGGUGUGUACUGGUCAUAUUGGUUCUCACCUUCUAAGGAACCAUAAUGUCAUUUAUUUGAUGUUGUGGGGAAUUAGGACUGUUACCUUGAAAAAAUUAGAGUGUUUAAAGCAGGCUAACGCUUGAAUACAUUAGCAUGGAAUAAUGAAAUAGGACAUCGCAUUCUAUUUUGUUGGUUUCUAGGAUCGAUGUAAUGAUUAAUAGGGAUAGUUGGGGGCAUUAGUAUUCAAUUGUCAGAGGUGAAAUUCUUGGAUUUAUUGAAGACUAACUACUGCGAAAGCAUUUGCCAAGGAUGUUUUCAUUAAUCAAGAACGAAAGUUAGGGGAUCGAAGACGAUCAGAUACCGUCGUAGUCUUAACCAUAAACUAUGCCGACUAGGGAUCGGAUGAUGUUGAUUUUUUAAUGUA